CCAAAGGCUCUUUUAAGAGCCACCCACAUAUUCCUCGAAAGAGCUU
Egretta garzetta (little egret) is the source of this 46-nucleotide non-coding RNA. The record is from Rfam. NCBI's taxonomy places the organism in Eukaryota, Metazoa, Chordata, Aves, Pelecaniformes, Ardeidae.